CGGAGGGGCUAGCGUUGUUCGGAAAUACUGGGGCGUAAAGCGCACGUAGGCGGCUCAGCAAGUCAGAGGUGAAAUCCCAGGGCUCAACCCUGGAACUGCCUUUGAAACUGCUAGGCUAGAAUCUUGGAGAGGUCAGUGGAAUUCCGAGUGUAGAGGUGAAAUUCGUAGAUAUUCGGAAGAACACCAGUGGCGAAGGCGACUGACUGGACAAGUAUUGACGCUGAGGUGCGAAAGCGUGGGGGAGCAAACAGGAUU
Molecule: ribosomal RNA, 255 nt
Filed under: uncultured bacterium
Lineage: Bacteria
Description: partial 16S ribosomal RNA
Rfam family: Bacterial small subunit ribosomal RNA
Source: RNAcentral